RNAcentral lists this ribosomal RNA (229 nucleotides) under uncultured bacterium. RNAcentral describes it as "partial 16S ribosomal RNA". It matches the Rfam family "Bacterial small subunit ribosomal RNA", at positions 568 to 796 of the family's 1533-position model. The record is from RNAcentral.
UACGUAGGCGGAAGAUUAAGUCAGUGGUGAAAUCCUGCAGCUUAACUGUAGAACUGUCAUUGAUACUGGCUUUCUUGAAUAUAGUUGAGGUAGGCGGAAUGUGUAAUGUAGCGGUGAAAUGCUUAGAUAUUACACAGAACACCGAUUGCGAAGGCAGCUUACUAAGCUAUUAUUGACGCUGAGGCACGAAAGCGUGGGGAGCGAACAGGAUUAGAUACCCUGGUAGUCC